GACGAACGCUGGCGGCGUGCUUAACACAUGCAAGUCGAACGGAAAGGCCUGCUUUCCCUUGUGGAUUGCGGGUACUCGAGUGGCGAACGGGUGAGUAACACGUGAGUGAUCUGCCCCCAACUUGGGUAUAAGCCUGGGAAACUGGGUCUAAUUCCCGAUAGGACUGCAGGGUGGUGCCUGUGGUGGAAAACGAUUUUCUAGUGGUUGGGGAUGAGCUCGCGGCCUAUCAGCUUGUUGGUGGGGUAAUGGCCUACCAAGGCGGCGACGGGUAGCCGGCCUGAGGGGGUGGACGGCCACAGUGGGACUGAGAUACGGCCCAGACUCCUACGGGAGGAAGGAGUGGGGAAUAUUGCACAAUGGGCGGAAGCCUGAUGCAGCGACGCCGCGUGGGGGAUGACGGCCUUCGGGUUGUAAACUCCUUUCGACCGCGAGGAAGCCACCUGGUUGGAAGGGUGGUGAGGGUAGUGGUAGAAGAAGCACCGGCUAACUACGUG
RNAcentral lists this ribosomal RNA (494 nucleotides) under uncultured bacterium. RNAcentral describes it as "partial 16S ribosomal RNA". It matches the Rfam family "Bacterial small subunit ribosomal RNA", at positions 28 to 507 of the family's 1533-position model. The record is from RNAcentral.